GUUCAUUAACGACAUCCUCCGUCGAGCUCCCAUAAUUCCACGCUUCUCUCGCGCUACCUGCCGCGUACAAUCGGCGAGGGGAAAUAGCGAAGAAGAAAAAAGAAGAAGGAGAAAAAAGAAGAUGCACGGGCGUGAGAAGGGCAACAUUUUACGCAGUGCUAAAACAAAAGAGUCAGGAGGGAGCGAGAGAAUGGAGAGAGAUGCCUUUUUUGUGAUGAGUGAAAAGCCAUUCACAGAAGCCUCUGCUGGAGCUCCAUCAGGACCAGGGAGCAGAGUAGAAAAUGGGGAGCACCAUGAAUGCAGCCGCAUGAUUGAGGGCCUGGUGUCACAUUCAGAGUUCAAGUCUGCUCCUGUCUGAGAGACAGAAGGUAUGCGCAUCCAAGCUGCAGCCAUUGUCUGCUCAGUGAAAUAAAACAGCACUGAGUGGAUCACUUUCCCCUGCACUCCUCUGUGCUUGCUCUGAACCAAAUUCCACAAAAUGAUUCUUAUUUUUCCAUGUUGGAACCUUCUAUAAUUUACUGACACAGCACAUGCAGCAUUGCCUUCUGUUAUUUUAAAAUGUAGAAAGACACACUGGAGUUGCUGCCAUUGUCUGACUCUGAAUUUCUAGCAAUUGCACAUCACAUUAUGGCUGAGGUGACAUGAUGGCACUUUCUGGCACAAAAUUAUAUAUUGUUAGUGGG
Ictalurus punctatus (channel catfish) is the source of this 683-nucleotide long non-coding RNA. The record is from Ensembl. NCBI's taxonomy places the organism in Eukaryota, Metazoa, Chordata, Actinopteri, Siluriformes, Ictaluridae.